This 823-nucleotide ribosomal RNA is filed under the name uncultured Bacteroidota bacterium. RNAcentral's name for it is "bacterial SSU rRNA". It matches the Rfam family "Bacterial small subunit ribosomal RNA", at positions 61 to 890 of the family's 1533-position model. Lineage: Bacteria; Pseudomonadati; Bacteroidota. The record is from RNAcentral.
GUCGAGCGGCAAGGUCUUCGGACCCUAGAGCGGCGCACGGGUGAGUAACGCGUACGCAAUCUGCCCUUCAGUGAGGAAUAGCCCUGGGAAACUGGGAUUAAUACCUCAUAAUAUUAAUAGAUCGCAUGGUUUAUUAAUUAAAGUUCUGGCGCUGAAGGAUGAGCGUGCGUCUGAUUAGCUAGUUGGUAGGGUAACGGCCUACCAAGGCUACGAUCAGUAGGGGGCGUGAGAGCGUGACCCCCCACACGGGUACUGAGACACGGACCCGACUCCUACGGGAGGCAGCAGUAAGGAAUAUUGGGCAAUGGAGGCAACUCUGACCCAGCCAUCCCGCGUGAAGGAUUAAGGCCCUAUGGAUUGUAAACUUCUUUUGUUUGGGAAGAAAUCUGGACAUUUAUGUGCAGUUGACGGUACCUUACGAAUAAGCACCGGCUAACUCCGUGCCAGCAGCCGCGGUAAUACGGAGGGUGCAAGCGUUAUCCGGAAUCACUGGGUUUAAAGGGUGCGUAGGCGGUUUGAUAAGUCAGAGGUGAAAGCUAGCAGCUUAACUGUUAAAUUGCCUUUGAUACUGUCAGACUUGAAUCAAGUUGAGGUAGGCGGAAUGUGACAUGUAGCGGUGAAAUGCAUAGAUAUGUCAUAGAACACCAAUUGCGUAGGCAGCUUGCUGGGCUUGAAUUGACGCUGAGGCACGAAAGCGUGGGGAUCAAACAGGAUUAGAUACCCUGGUAGUCCACGCCCUAAACGAUGUUAACUCGAUAUUUAUUCUUCGGAGUGAGUGUCCAAGCGAAAGCGUUAAGUUAACCACCUGGGGAGUACGUUCGCA